Molecule: non-coding RNA, 1790 nt
Organism: Ictidomys tridecemlineatus (thirteen-lined ground squirrel)
Lineage: Eukaryota; Metazoa; Chordata; Mammalia; Rodentia; Sciuridae
Source: RefSeq, a predicted model, not a curated record
AAAAGGGUUGGAGCUAUGGCUCAGUGGUUCAAUGCCCCUGGGUUCAAUCUUGAUACCAAAAGAAAAAAUAUGAAGCUGGGGUUGUAGCUCAGUAUCAAUGGUGGAGCAUGUGUGUGCUUAGUAUGUGCAAGGCUCUGUUUGAUCCUCAGCACCAAAAUAAAUAAAUAAAUAAAUAAAAAGAAAGCCAGACACAAAAGAUCACAUAUUGUGAUUCAUUUACACAAAACAAGGGGCAAGGGAUGUAGUCCAGUGGUAGAGUGCUUGCCUGGCCUAGCAUGCACUGGUUCCUGGUGGGCUCUGGGUUUGAUUUCUGACACUGAAAAGGAAAAGGAAAAAAAUAGUAUAUAAAUCAAUUCACAUAAAAUGAACAGGAAAGGAAAACUUAUAGAGACAAAAAGUAAACUAUUGCUUGAAGAUGGGGAUGGGGAAGAGGAUUAACUGCAGGAACUUCUUGGAAUGCUAAAAACAUUUAAAAAUGGUAAUGGUUAUAUAACUCUAUACAUUUACGAAAAAUUAGUGAACAUUUAAAGUGGAUGAAUUUUAAGCUUUAUAAAUUAUGCCUCAAUAAAACUACUGGAAAAGCAAUGAUGUGAAAUGGAGGAAGCAGGAGGUGGUGACCAAAAUGUGGAAAUACUUGACUGUCUGUAGAUAUUCCAAGAAGUAGUUAUUGAGGCUCUUCUUUGUGCCCAAUGCUAGGCACACAAUAAUAGAGACUUCCAAGGAGCUGAUCACCAAGCAUGGACUACCACAUACAACAGAUGAGCAAACAGGCCUCUGCAUAGGGACACCAAGCCUACUCUGUUGUUGCAGGAACAAAACCUAAACUGAGACCUUAAAGGAUAGUUUUAGGGAGGCUUUGUGGAAAGAAGUGCCAUAUUGUGGUGUCCCUUCUGCCAUGAAAUGGAAUUUAGGUUUAUAUGAACUGUAAAACUAGAAAAAGAGAAUUCACUGGGGGAACUGAACUAGUAGUGUUAAUGAGAAAAACAUCUCUUUACCACAUACUUAGGAUAAUUCUAAGAUAACUGGAUUAAUAUUGCAUAAAUUUUUUGGUUGUGUACUGUUAUAUUAUUAUGAAAACGAGCAGUGCUGGACUUUGGGGUGAAGAGAAGUGGGCUCUGAGGCUAGUUGUGAGAGAAGAGUUCAAAGAACAGAACACAAAACAAACAAAAAGCAGAUGAGUCUUCUCACCAGUCUACUCUUCACCAUGGUUCUAGUGGAGAGAGUUGCUGCUUAUGUGGAAAGGCCUGGGAAUACUUUAUAAGCAUUUGGCCUUUCUCCCCCAGCACAGAGCCCUUAGAUAAUCUGGUUGCCUGAUUUAGCACAAGGUACUCUCUUUUAUGAUCUUCUGCUCAUUGCCCAUCAUGGUAGGUGCUGAGCUUUCCACACAUUGGACCUGGAGGCUAGACGAUUCUGUUGCUUCCGGAUUGAAGGUGAACCAGACUGAGUAUGAACAUCUGCUCUCAAUUCUUGACAGUACCACUGAUGACUCAGGGAAUUCUGGAGUUUUCCGACAGCUGAGUGAAGAGAAGGGGAAACCUGAGAGCAAUGGAGGGCUGGACAGGAACACAGAUGCAGCAGCAACAUGCAAAUGGAGUCUGCGUUUCCCCACCAGAGCUCAUCUGAUAAAAGACAUCUUUUCAAAAGCUGCUUUUGCUGUAUGUACACCUGGCAUUUCCCUUGUUUUCACAAGACUAUUCAUAUUUUAUCCAAUAUAUUUAUUCACUGAAUCACAGUAAAAAUAUGAUUUACUUAUAAUAGUUAAAAAAUAAAUCAGAAAAGAGCAAAAACUA